UACGUAGGGUGCGAGCGUUAAUCGGAAUUACUGGGCGUAAAGCGUGCGCAGGCGGCUUUGCAAGACAGAUGUGAAAUCCCCGAGCUUAACUUGGGAACUGCAUUUGUGACUGCAAGGCUAGAGUACGGCAGAGGGGGAUGGAAUUCCGCGUGUAGCAGUGAAAUGCGUAGAUAUGCGGAGGAACACCAAUGGCGAAGGCAAUCCCCUGGGCCUGUACUGACGCUCAUGCACGAAAGCGUGGGGAGCAAACAGG
Molecule: ribosomal RNA, 253 nt
Filed under: uncultured bacterium
Lineage: Bacteria
Description: partial 16S ribosomal RNA
Rfam family: Bacterial small subunit ribosomal RNA
Source: RNAcentral